RNAcentral lists this unclassified non-coding RNA (210 nucleotides) under Hevea brasiliensis (rubber tree). Lineage: Eukaryota; Viridiplantae; Streptophyta; Magnoliopsida; Malpighiales; Euphorbiaceae. The record is from RNAcentral.
AAGGAAAAGAAGAAGAAGAAGAGAAGUAGAAGGGAGAGAAUGGCCAGAUUUUUUAGGUUUCUCCGGCAAGGAAAGACCACAGCAAGGGAAAAAGAGAGAGAGUGGUCCGAAAAGCAAGAAAUUAGACAGAGAAAGGGAGAAAGAUGAUGAAUCAGAAAUAGGGGUUGAGUAGGGGCAUCGAUUUUGUCUUCCGUCCAGGAGGAGCUUUUG